AGAAACGUAUAUAAACAUGCAAAAGAACAGAUUUUAAAAAAGAAAAAGAAAAACACAUGUCUAACCUUCAUAGAAGAACUCGAACGUUAAAACCCACGUGCCAAAACCAACCUGGAAAAAUGGAUUUUCAUUGUUAUAAAUCUUUGAACUUUGAUUGUCAACUUUUUUUUCCAAUAUUUCUUUUUUCCUUUUCGCUCUUUUCUUGUUGCAAAUAAAUACAGGCAGAGCAAGAAAAAAAAUUGUGAAAAAAAUAAAAUUAAAAAAGAAAAUAUAAGACAAAGCAAAGAAAACUUUAGUUACCUUGAAAGAGAGAACUUAGCUUUCAUGGAUACGAAAAAGUGGCCUAAUAAGGGAUCAAAUAAUAAAAAGGCCGAACAAAGCAAAGCGAAGAGCAUGUGGAAUUUGGAUUAUUAUGAGCUCACUCAAUCAUCUCUACUUCACAAUCCAAACUCAAACAAAAUGCAAAUCUCUACUGUUCUGAAAUGCCAUAUAUGUCUACAAUUUUCUUAUAUAUAUAUAUCAGUCAACGUGUACUGACCAUGUACUGCCACCCUAAAUUACCUGCAAAAUAAAUCACUACCA
This 582-nucleotide long non-coding RNA is filed under the name Gossypium barbadense (sea-island cotton). RNAcentral's name for it is "long non-coding RNA (GBAR_LNC014240)". The record is from RNAcentral. Lineage: Eukaryota; Viridiplantae; Streptophyta; Magnoliopsida; Malvales; Malvaceae.